This 318-nucleotide long non-coding RNA is filed under the name Dermacentor andersoni. Its description in RNAcentral is "uncharacterized LOC126518709". Lineage: Eukaryota; Metazoa; Arthropoda; Arachnida; Ixodida; Ixodidae. The record is from RNAcentral.
ACGUCCCUCGGAUUGUUGAGGCCGCACUACACGUGCCUGCCUGAACUGUAAUCAAGCAAAUAUCGCCUUGGUUCAAACGACCUCAUCGGUUAUGCCGGUGCACGUUACCUACGGAAUCUGAUAGUGAACAUCACGAAGGUGCAACGCGAGCUACGUGCGUGAGACGCCUUUGUUUUCGGCGUACAGGUGACGAACGGACGUGCGGACAAACGAAUCGGCCGGCCAUAUACACCUAAAAAGUAGACAUCGGCGACGGUGUAUAUGUUGAAAAGGGCCUGCUGAAGAGGCUGCGCCUGGAUGCUAACUCAGGCUUUGAGU